CGAUGUGUUCUGUCCCCUUCUCCUACCUCCUGCUGUCCCCACUCCUGAAAAUUGGCACCUUGGAGCCUCAUCGGCCUCUGUGAAGCUCUGGAAAUUGGAGCAGGAGCAUGUGAAACCAUUGGCAGCCAAACUCUCAUAAGCCCGAUCAUCCUCCUGUACACUCUUGAAAAAUGGGAUUAAUAUUUGAGGAAACAGACCUGGUAGUCAUGAGGGACUCCUCUCUCUCACGUGCUCCAUCUCCAUCAGUGAUCAAUGUUUUCUGAUAGGACCUUCUCUCCUUCCCCACCCUGCCUGCCUCUAUCACCUGGGUGGCUAUAGCAGCAUCUUAACGUGCCCCCCAACUCCCAGCAGCCCUCCUACCCCACAGGACAAGGCCAGGCUGCGGGGAGCCAUGAGUGAGGAAGCAGGGAAGAAGCAGAAUCGCUGGGCUAAGUUGGUGCAGCUCAUGUGUGCUGGUCUCUGGCUCCCUGAAUUGGGUUCAGCUUCUCUGAUUCCUGGGCCAGGUGUGUGUCUGGCUCUGGGAGGAAGGGCACCAGCUUCUCCUGCAGAUCAGGCCCAUCAUCGAAGGUGGAGACUGAGAGGUGAUGGGAGACCAGGGUUUCCCAGUGACUUGUUCUUGAUUUCCAGAACUCCCCUGCUAGGACUCCCGCAACUUGAGAGUGGUGAGGUCCCACCCAGAGCGGGGAUGUUCUUCAGAAGGAGCCCCAGGAGCCCUUUCAAAGCCGUCCUCCAGCGGCAGAGGAAAGCUGCAGCCAGCAGAAUCCCGACUUUCACCAGAGGAUGGCACUGUGGUCGUUUCCAAGAGAGAGCGGAGCCAUUUGAAAAAGCAAUUUCCAAAUGGCAUUAACAGCUGCACUUCAAACCCUGCAGGGAACAUUAGAAAAUGUUAACCCCCAAAUGGUGGGGAAACAGGGACUGGAGGAGGCCAGGCCUGGAGAAAGGUGGCAGCUGGGAGAAGGGCCAAAACGGGAUGACCGCCAAGCUGCUGGGGGCUGGCGUCCUCCCAGUGAAGGCUGAGGCCUCUGCUUACCCAGGGCUUUCCAGGGCUUUCAGAGCUGAUCAGCAGCCGUAGGCGGUGGCACUUAACCACGGGAAAAGGCAGGGGCCACCGGGGAGCAGUAAGGGGGAGCGUUUUCCUGCUUUCCUCCUUCUGUGCCAACUUUGUGUCAGUUACUCAAAGUGUUAAUUUCAGCCCCCUUGAGGGCUGGCCCAAGUCUUGUUCACCUUUCAGUUUUCCAUCACGCCUGGCGUGUAAUAGACACUCCAUAAAUGGCUGUCAGAUAAGUAAAUGAUUGAUUGAUUGAAUGAGUGAAUCUUGGAUUUGGGGAAAGAAUACAGUGAGGCUCUUCAAGAGAAAAAAGAAAAGAAAG
RNAcentral lists this long non-coding RNA (1370 nucleotides) under Equus caballus (horse). RNAcentral describes it as "lncRNA (ENSECAG00000048893.1)". The record is from RNAcentral. Lineage: Eukaryota; Metazoa; Chordata; Mammalia; Perissodactyla; Equidae.